Long non-coding RNA from Poecilia latipinna (sailfin molly), 565 nucleotides. RefSeq lists it as uncharacterized. The transcript has 2 exons. NCBI's taxonomy places the organism in Eukaryota, Metazoa, Chordata, Actinopteri, Cyprinodontiformes, Poeciliidae. The record is from RefSeq and is a predicted model, not a curated record.
GCUACUUACGUGUUUCAUUAAAAGUGCAACACUUUUGUUUAAUAUUCAACAAAUACUAUAAAACUGCACUUAGAUCAAAUAUAACUCGGGUUAAAUUAAUGAAUGAAGUAUAAAAUCACUAUUCCUGGAUGUAGAAAAUGUUCCUGUAAGGAUGCAGUUUUUCUUCUGUAUGUUUUGUUCUUAGUAUAAUUUAAGGUUGAUUUUAUAUUUGGGAAAAGUGCUUUAGAGUUUCAAGAGAAACUUUAUCUACUUACUUAUAUUCAUGUAAAUGUGUCAAAAUUAACCACAAGGCUCCACAAAGUUGUUAGAGUUAAAUGACUUUAAUUUUCUUGUAUUAUUUAAGUUGAAUUAUUGCCUCAUGAAAUGUUAAUGGUAAUUUAUUGCAAAUUGUUAAAAAAAAUGAUAUUAACUCUUAUUUCCACUCUUGCAUCACAAAAGGUCCAGAAAACGAAAAUGCCAGAGUCCCUCUGGAGGAAGUUUUCGACUCACUCAGAAACAAUAAAAAUCGCUCGCGGAGACUUCUCCUGUUUCAAAGGAGUUUCUUAUACUUAUAAAAGUAACAAAA